UGGGGAAUCAUAGUCAAUGGGCGAAAGCCUGAACCUGCGACGCCGCGUGAGUGAUGAAGGUCGUAAGAUCGUAAAACUCUUUUCAGGGAUCUUAAAGCCUGUCUGUCAACAACAGGCAGGUCUGACUCUCACUGGAAGAAGCCCCAGCCAACUACGUGCCAGAAGCUGCGGUAAUACGUAGGGGGCGAGCGUUAUUCGGAAUUACUGGGUGUAAAGGGUAUGUAGGCGGCCCUUCAAGUCGCGUGUCAAAGUCCAGUGCUCAACGCUGUGUGUGCGCGCGAUACUGGCGGGCUUGAGGGCUGGAGAGGUGAGCGGAACUCCCGGUGCAGUGGUAAAAUACGUCGAGUUCGGGAGGAACACCAGCGGCGUAGGCGGCUCACUAGACAGUUUCUGACUCUAAGAUACGAAAGCGUGGGUAGCAAACA
RNAcentral lists this ribosomal RNA (425 nucleotides) under uncultured prokaryote. Its description in RNAcentral is "bacterial SSU rRNA". It matches the Rfam family "Bacterial small subunit ribosomal RNA", at positions 355 to 774 of the family's 1533-position model. The record is from RNAcentral.